AUGGCGACGGAGCACAUGCCGGCCACGAACGAGGAGACGGCGGAGCCGCCGUCCGGGUAUCUGCAGAUCGCCGCCACCUCCCCCGCGACCAGGAGAAAGUGCCGGCCAGCCGGCACACCAGACCCGGACGCGGAGGUGGUGUCGCUGUCCCCGCGGACGCUGCUGGAGCCCAAGACGUACGUGUGCGAGAUCUGCAACCGGGGCUUCCGGCGGGCGACGAACCUGCAGAUGCACCGCCGGCGGCACGGCGUGCCGUGGGAGCAGCUGCAGAGGCGGGACGCCGGCAAGGCGGCGCCGCCGGGCCGGAAGCGGGUGUUCGUGUGCCCGGAGCCCAGCUGCCCGCACCACCACCCCUCCCGUGCCCUCAGCGGCGCCAGCGCCAUCAAGCACCACUUCCGCCGCCAGCACGGCGCCCACCGCCAGUGGUCCUGCUCCCGCUGCUCCAGAGCCUUCGCCGUCCACGGCGACUACAAGGCCCACCUCAAGACCUGCGGCGGUAGCGGCACCCGCGCCCGCUUGCUCCGCUACCCUUGCCACUGUGGGCGCGUCUUCUUCCGGGUGGACACGUUCGCAUAUCACCAGCGAACGUGCCGCGGCGUUCCCCCACAGGCGGGUGUGCUGUCGGCGCCGGUGUGCGGCGCGUUGUCCGCGCCGCAGCAGCGGGCGACAUCACCGUACCCGUCCGGCUUCGCCAUGCCAUCCAGUAGCGUCCUCAUCGGCGCGGUGAUUUGGCCCGGCGCCACCGCAAUGCGGAGCCCGACCGUGGCCACGUUCAACGGGUUCUUGCCGCCGACAGGCACCAGCCGCAGCGGGCACGACCUCGAGCUGCAGCUCAUGCCGCCAUCGUGCCACGCAGCGCCGCGCUCACCGCCCGCGCCCAUCUCGUGGGGAGACGACGGCGCCACCCAGCUGCAGCUUUCCACAGGCCUAUGCAGCGGCGACAACCGUGCGGGAGAGGAGUUCAGGCCGUCGUCAUUCCAGGCGCCACGUGGUCGAGCCCGGUGGAGGCGUGCAGUCCACCUCCAGGGAGGAGCAGGAGGAGCUGCGGCCGGUGAUGGCGGCGAAGGCGGAUCUGAAACCACGUGCUCUCCAUCGUCACCGACCCCCUCAUCCUCGACGGCAUACGGCGGCGGCGUCACCAGCCUGCAAUGGGCAAUGCGUAGCUUGCCAUCUUGGACCGCCUCUUAA
RNAcentral lists this ribosomal RNA (1188 nucleotides) under Triticum aestivum (bread wheat). Its description in RNAcentral is "partial small subunit ribosomal RNA". Lineage: Eukaryota; Viridiplantae; Streptophyta; Magnoliopsida; Poales; Poaceae. The record is from RNAcentral.